AUAUCAGCGCGGACUCGUCGAUGUAUUGAUCGAACUCGAAGCAGAUGUGACCGUCCGAGAGGAUGGUCUCUCUUUUUGUCGGAGAGUUUGAUCCUGGCUCAGGACAAACGCUGGCGGCGUGCAUAAAACAUGCAAGUCGAACGGACCAAAGCCGCAAGGCCGAGGUUAGUGGCGAACGGCUGAGUAACACGUAGGUGACCUGCCCCGAAGUGGGGGAUAACUCCUCGAAAGAGGUGCUAAUACCGCAUGUGACCACCGAUUCAUUUCGGUGCUCAAAGUCGCAAGACGCUUUGGGAGGGGCCUGCGGCCGAUUAGCUAGUUGGUGGGGUAAUGGCCUACCAAGGCAGCGAUCGGUAGCUGGUCUGAGAGGAUGACCAGCCAGACUGGGACUGAGACACGGCCCAGACUCCUACGGGAGGCAGCAGUUAGGAAUUUUGCACAAUGGGGGAAACCCUGAUGCAGCCACGCCGCGUGCGGGAUGAAGGCCUUCGGGUCGUAAACCGCUUUUCUCAGGGAAGACACCCGACGGUACCUGAGGAAUAAGCAACGGCUAACUACGUGCCAGCAGCCGCGGUAAUACGUAGGUUGCGAGCGUUGUCCGGAUUUAUUGGGCGUAAAGCGCGCGCAGGCGGUCCUGCAAGUCCACGGUGAAAGCUCCCGGCCCAACUGGGAGAGGCCCGUGGAAACUGCAGGACUUGAAGGCGGGAGAGGCAGAUGGAAUUUCCGGUGUAGCGGUAAAAUGCGUAGAUACCGGAAGGAACACCAGUGGCGAAAGCGAUCUGCUGGCCCGCCCUUGACGCUCAGGCGCGAAAGCUAGGGGAGCGACCGGGAUUAGAUACCCCGUUAGUCCUAGCCGUAAACAAUGGUCACUAGGUGUUGUCGGUAUCGACCCCGGCAGUGCCGUAGCUAACGCAUUAAGUGACCCGCCUGGGGAGUACGACCGCAAGGUUAAAACUCAAAGGAAUUGACGGGGGCCCGCACAAGCAGCGGAGCGUGCGGUUUAAUUCGAUGGUACGCGAAGAACCUUACCGAGGCUUGACAUGCAAGUGGUACCGAUCCGAAAGGGGAGGGACCCGCAAGGGAGCUUGCACAGGUGUUGCACGGCUGUCGUCAGCUCGUGUCGUGAGAUGUUGGGUUAAGUCCCGCAACGAGCGCAACCCUCGGGGUCUGUUGUAUCACUCAGACCCGACUGCCGAGAGAAACUCGGAGGAAGGUGGGGAUGACGUCAAGUCAGCGUGGCCCUUACGCCUCGGGCUACACGCACGCUACAAUGGCCGGUCACAGCGAGUCGCGACGGCGCGAGCCGGAGCUAACCUCUUAAAACCGGCCUCAGUUCAGAUCGGAGGCUGCAACUCGCCUCCGUGAAGUCGGAGUUGCUAGUAACCGGGGGUCAGCACACCCCGGUGAAUAUGUUCCCGGGCCUUGUACACACCGCCCGUCACGUCAUGGGAGUCAGUAACACCCGAAGCCGGUGGGCCAACCGCAAGGAGGUAGCCGUCGAAGGUGGGAUUGGCGACUG
Molecule: ribosomal RNA, 1519 nt
Filed under: uncultured bacterium
Lineage: Bacteria
Description: bacterial SSU rRNA
Rfam family: Bacterial small subunit ribosomal RNA
Source: RNAcentral